CCCUUAGAUGUUCUGGGCAGCACGCGUGCUACACUGAGUGGAUCAGCGGGUCAGGUUGCGCGAAAGCGUUUCCUAAUCUUUAAAUCCGCUCGUGAUGGGGAUUGACGGUUGCAAUUUUCUGUCAUGAACGAGGAAUACCUUGUAAGCGCGGGUCAUCAUCCCGCGCUGAAUACGUCCCUGCCCUUUGUACACACCGCCCGUCGCUCCUACCGAUUGAGUGGUCCGGUGAGGCUUUGGGAUCUGAGCGGAAAGAGCGUUUCGCUGUUUCUGCUCGGAAAACUCAGUCGAACCUUAUCAUUUAGAGGAAGGAGAAGUCGUAACA
This 322-nucleotide ribosomal RNA is filed under the name uncultured eukaryote. RNAcentral describes it as "partial 18S ribosomal RNA". It matches the Rfam family "Eukaryotic small subunit ribosomal RNA", at positions 1470 to 1796 of the family's 1831-position model. The record is from RNAcentral.